UCCGGUUUGUCACCGGCAGUCUCCCAUGAGUCCCCGGCAUAACCCGCUGGCAACAUGGAACGAGGGUUGCGCUCGUUGCGGGACUUAACCCAACAUCUCACGACACGAGCUGACGACAACCAUGCACCACCUGUAAACCGGCCACAAGUGGCCGACACAUCUCUGCGCCGUUCCGAUUCAUGUCAAGCCUUGGUAAGGUUCUUCGCGUUGCAUCGAGUUAAUCCGCAUGCUCCGCCGCUUGUGCGGGCCCCCGUCAAUUCCUUUGAGUUUUAAUCUUGCGACCGUACUCCCCAGGCGGGGCACUUAAUGCGUUAGCUGCGACACCGAAGGGGUCGUCCCACCGGCAUCUAGUGCCCAUCGUUUACGGCGUGGACUAC
Molecule: unclassified non-coding RNA, 377 nt
Filed under: uncultured Actinomycetes bacterium
Lineage: Bacteria; Bacillati; Actinomycetota; Actinomycetes
Description: uncultured actinobacterium contains 16S-23S intergenic spacer region
Source: RNAcentral